AGUGAACGCUGGCGGUAGGCCUAACACAUGCAAGUCGAACGGCAGCACAGUAAGAGCUUGCUCUUACGGGUGGCGAGUGGCGGACGGGUGAGGAAUACAUCGGAAUCUACUUUUUCGUGGGGGAUAACGUAGGGAAACUUACGCUAAUACCGCAUACGACCUACGGGUGAAAGCAGGGGAUCUUCGGACCUUGCGCGAUUGAAUGAGCCGAUGUCGGAUUAGCUAGUUGGCGGGGUAAAGGCCCACCAAGGCGACGAUCCGUAGCUGGUCUGAGAGGAUGAUCAGCCAAACUGGAACUGGGACACGGUCCAGACUCCUAAGGGAGGCAGCAGUGGGGAAUAUUGGACAAUGGGCGCAAGCCUUAUCCAGCCAUACCGCGUUGGUGAAGAAGGCCUUCGGGUUGGAAAGCCCUUUUGUUGGGAAAGAAAAGCAGCAGGUUAAUACCCCGCUGUUCUGACGGUACCCAAAGAAUAAGCACCGGCUAACUUCGUG
RNAcentral lists this ribosomal RNA (492 nucleotides) under uncultured bacterium. RNAcentral's name for it is "partial 16S ribosomal RNA". It matches the Rfam family "Bacterial small subunit ribosomal RNA", at positions 29 to 507 of the family's 1533-position model. The record is from RNAcentral.